This 497-nucleotide ribosomal RNA is filed under the name uncultured bacterium. RNAcentral describes it as "partial 16S ribosomal RNA". It matches the Rfam family "Bacterial small subunit ribosomal RNA", at positions 28 to 507 of the family's 1533-position model. The record is from RNAcentral.
GAUGAACGCUGGCGGCGUGCCUAAUACAUGCAAGUCGAGCGAACAGACGAGGAGCUUGCUCCUCUGACGUUAGCGGCGGACGGGUGAGUAACACGUGGAUAACCUACCUAUAAGACUGGGAUAACUUCGGGAAACCGGAGCUAAUACCGGAUAAUAUAUUGAACCGCAUGGUUCAAUAGUGAAAGACGGUUUUGCUGUCACUUAUAGAUGGAUCCGCGCCGCAUUAGCUAGUUGGUAAGGUAACGGCUUACCAAGGCAACGAUGCGUAGCCGACCUGAUAGGGUGGUCGGCCACACUGGAACUGAGACACGGUCCAGACUCCUACGGGAGGCAGCAGUAGGGAAUCUUCCGCAAUGGGCGAAAGCCUGACGGAGCAACGCCGCGUGAGUGAUGAAGGUCUUCGGAUCGUAAAACUCUGUUAUUAGGGAAGAACAAAUGUGUAAGUAACUAUGCACGUCUUGACGGUACCUAGUCAGAAAGCCACGGCUAACUACGUG